Molecule: ribosomal RNA, 229 nt
Filed under: uncultured bacterium
Lineage: Bacteria
Description: partial 16S ribosomal RNA
Rfam family: Bacterial small subunit ribosomal RNA
Source: RNAcentral
GAUAAUGGCUCAGAUUGAACGCUGGCGGCAGGCCUAACACAUGCAAGUCGAGCGGUAGCACAGAGAGCUUGCUCUCGGGUGACGAGCGGCGGACGGGUGAGUAAUGUCUGGGAAACUGCCUGAUGGAGGGGGAUAACUACUGGAAACGGUAGCUAAUACCGCAUAAUGUCGCAAGACCAAAGUGGGGGACCUUCGGGCCUCAUGCCAUCAGAUGUGCCCCAGAUGGGUA